CGCGAGGGAAAGGCGAAAAGAACCCCGGCGAGGGGAGUGAAAAAGAACCUGAAACCGUGUACGUACAAGCAGUGGGAGCACGCUCAGGCGUGUGACUGCGUACCUUUUGUAUAAUGGGUCAGCGACUUAUAUUCUGUAGCAAGGUUAACCGAAUAGGGGAGCCGAAGGGAAACCGAGUCUUAACUGGGCGUUAAGUUGCAGGGUAUAGACCCGAAACCCGGUGAUCUAGCCAUGGGCAGGUUGAAGGUUGGGUAACACUAACUGGAGGACCGAACCGACUAAUGUUGAAAAAUUAGCGGAUGACUUGUGGCUGGGGGUGAAAGGCCAAUCAAACCGGGAGAUAGCUGGUUCUCCCCGAAAGCUAUUUAGGUAGCGCCUCGUGAAUUCAUCUCCGGGGGUAGAGCACUGUUUCGGCAAGGGGGUCAUCCCGACUUACCAACCCGAUGCAAACUGCGAAUACCGGAGAAUGUUAUCACGGGAGACACACGGCGGGUGCUAACGUCCGUCGUGAAGAGGGAAACAACCCAGACCGCCAGCUAAGGUCCCAAAGUCAUGGUUAAGUGGGAAACGAUGUGGGAAGGCCCAGACAGCCAGGAUGUUGGCUUAGAAGCAGCCAUCAUUUAAAGAAAGCGUAAUAGCUCACUGGUCGAGUCGGCCUGCGCGGAAGAUGUAACGGGGCUAAACCAUGCACCGAAGCUGCGGCAGCGACGCUUAUGCGUUGUUGGGUAGGGGAGCGUUCUGUAAGCCUGCGAAGGUGUGCUGUGAGGCAUGCUGGAGGUAUCAGAAGUGCGAAUGCUGACAUAAGUAACGAUAAAGCGGGUGAAAAGCCCGCUCGCCGGAAGACCAAGGGUUCCUGUCCAACGUUAAUCGGGGCAGGGUGAGUCGACCCCUAAGGCGAGGCCGAAAGGCGUAGUCGAUGGGAAACAGGUUAAUAUUCCUGUACUUGGUGUUACUGCGAAGGGGGGACGGAGAAGGCUAUGUUGGCCGGGCGACGGUUGUCCCGGUUUAAGCGUGUAGGCUGGUUUUCCAGGCAAAUCCGGAAAAUCAAGGCUGAGGCGUGAUGACGAGGCACUACGGUGCUGAAGCAACAAAUGCCCUGCUUCCAGGAAAAGCCUCUAAGCAUCAGGUAACAUCAAAUCGUACCCCAAACCGACACAGGUGGUCAGGUAGAGAAUACCAAGGCGCUUGAGAGAACUCGGGUGAAGGAACUAGGCAAAAUGGUGCCGUAACUUCGGGAGAAGGCACGCUGAUAUGUAGGUGAAGUCCCUCGCGGAUGGAGCUGAAAUCAGUCGAAGAUACCAGCUGGCUGCAACUGUUUAUUAAAAACACAGCACUGUGCAAACACGAAAGUGGACGUAUACGGUGUGACGCCUGCCCGGUGCCGGAAGGUUAAUUGAUGGGGUCAGCGCAAGCGAAGCUCUUGAUCGAAGCCCCGGUAAACGGCGGCCGUAACUAUAACGGUCCUAAGGUAGCGAAAUUCCUUGUCGGGUAAGUUCCGACCUGCACGAAUGGCGUAAUGAUGGCCAGGCUGUCUCCACCCGAGACUCAGUGAAAUUGAACUCGCUGUGAAGAUGCAGUGUACCCGCGGCAAGACGGAAAGACCCCGUGAACCUUUACUAUAGCUU
Molecule: ribosomal RNA, 1625 nt
Filed under: Shewanella xiamenensis
Lineage: Bacteria; Pseudomonadati; Pseudomonadota; Gammaproteobacteria; Alteromonadales; Shewanellaceae
Description: partial 23S ribosomal RNA
Rfam family: Bacterial large subunit ribosomal RNA
Source: RNAcentral